UUUAUGCAAAAAUAAAAAAACCUUUACUCAUCUUCUUUUCUUCACACAAACACAAUGUGGAGCAACCUUCCUUCUGAUCUCUUAGCCAACAUCUUCUCCCUCCUCUCCCCAGACUCCUUGGCACGUGCCAGCUCUUCUUGCCGGCACUGGCACACGUGUGCCAAGGCUUACCCUUUGAGCACAACCUCUAAUAAUUCGGCAUGGUUCUUGGCCAUGCCAAUUCAGCGCAAUCAUACACUCUUAUCCUGUUAUCUUCACGACCCAGUUCUCAACAAUUGGCAUGCUCUCUCUCUUGACUUUCUUCCAGACCCAGUUCGGCUUGUUGGUCCAAUUGGUAGCCUUGUUCUUAUAAGACCAACGAGUUCUACAUUUCUCCAAUUGGCUAUUUGUAACCCAUUUACUAGACAAUUUAGGCACCUUCCUAUGUUGAACAUUACAAGGACUAACCCAGCUGUGGGUGUUAUUAUGGUACUAGAUUCGACCCAAUCUGUUCCAUUUCCUUGCUUUAAGGUUUUUGUGGCAGGUGGGAUGUCCGAGGCCGUUGCGCCACGUCGCGGCGCCUUGUAUGAACCCACAUUGGAGAUGUACGACUCGCGACAACACACGUGGCAAGUUGUGGGGCCUAUGCCAGUUGAAUUUGCUGUGAGGCUAACGGUUUGGACACCCAAUGAGAGUGUGUACUCUAAGGGGGUCUUGUAUUGGAUUACCUCAGCUCGGGCUUACAGUGUAAUGGGGUUUGAGAUUGGUACUAACACAUGGAUGGAAUUGAAUGUGCCAAUGGCAGACAAGCUUGAAUUUGCCACACUAGUGAGAAGGAAUGGGGUGCUAACACUUGUUGGUGGCAUAUGUGGUGGAGAGGCUUGUGUAUGGGAGCUUGUUGAAGGGUACAAUUGGAGACUAGUUGAGAAGAUGUCAAUUGAAUUUGGGAUAAGAUUUUUAGGUAGCAAGACAAGUUGGGGUAGUACAAAAUGUGUAGGUAGUGAUGAGGCUAUUUACUUGUAUAGAGACCUUAGGUCAGGAAUGGUAGUUUGGAGGAAAGUUGUUGAUAAGGGUAAAUGGGAAUGGUUCUGGGUUGAAGGGUGUUGUUCCGUUGGGGGAAAACAAGUGCAAACUUUCCCAAUUAAAGGAGUACUUCUUCAGCCUAGUCUUGCUCCCUCAUGCAUAUCCUAAAUUAAUGAGGCCCAUUUGUGCAUGUUUUGUAAGAAAGUGAUAGUAUUGAAGAGCCUCCCAACUGUCAAAAUCUGACAACAAUCCUACAGGAAUACCAAUUAUGGAGCAAAGCAAAUGAGGAAGGCUAUUUUUCAAUCAAUGAUAGACGUCUUAACACAACUGCAGGUUUAAUAAGUGUACAUAUAUACUCAAUGCUUACUCAAAUUUGCAUAUGCAUUGUAUAAAAAAGCUUAUGAAUUUUAAGGAGAAAGAUGGCUUUUCAUUUUGACUGGUGAUGAACUAGACUAAUUAUACUACUCACCGGUGGCAUGGAAUCUUUGAGUUAAGCUGAAAAGGAUUGCAUUGGUGAGCUUCUUUUGUAUUUCUCUUGCCUUUCAAAGGGCACGAGACUGAGGAUGUAUACUUUUAUAAUGUCUGGUCUACAUGAGAUGGAGUUUCUACUAAUGAACAAUUAGAUGCUUGCAGUGCACACAAGACUGAGACAGGGCUGAUGAAUAACAUUAUAUGUAAUAACAUUUUACCCUUAGUUCACCAAGUUCAAGGUCCUCAAUGUUUUUCUUUUAAUAUGUUUUUUUAUUUAUUUAAAUGGAUGUAGUUUAUAUAAAGAUAUGUUAAGUAUUCUUGUGUUUGCA
This is an RNA transcript of Quercus robur (English oak), 1802 nucleotides long. It is a transcript of the gene named F-box only protein 6-like, with no coding region annotated. NCBI's taxonomy places the organism in Eukaryota, Viridiplantae, Streptophyta, Magnoliopsida, Fagales, Fagaceae. The record is from RefSeq and is a predicted model, not a curated record. The transcript is spliced from 6 exons.